AUUGAACGCUGGCGGCAGGCCUAACACAUGCAAGUCGAACGAUUGGCGGACGGGUGAGUAAUGUCUGGGAAACUCCCUGAUGGAGGGGGCUAACUACUGGAAACGGUAGCUAAUACCGCAUACCAUCAGAUGUGCCCAGAUGGGAUUAGGUAGUUGGUGGGGAAACGGCUCAACAAGGCGACGAUCCCUAGCUGGUCUGAGAGGAAUACCAGCAAGACGGGAACGGAGACACGGUCCAGACACCUACGGGCGGCAGCAGUGAGGAAUAUUGCACAAUGGGCGCGAGCCUGAUGCAGCCAUGCCGGGUGUAUGAAGAAGGCCUGCGGGUUGUAAAGAACUUUCAGCGGGGAGGCGUUACCCGCAGAAGAAGCACCGGCUAACUCCGUGCCAGCAGCCGCGGUAAAC
This 405-nucleotide ribosomal RNA is filed under the name uncultured bacterium. Its description in RNAcentral is "partial 16S ribosomal RNA". It matches the Rfam family "Bacterial small subunit ribosomal RNA", at positions 29 to 525 of the family's 1533-position model. The record is from RNAcentral.